UUCCCAAUUCUGACCCAUAGAAUUGUAAACCCCAAUCAACUUGAAUGUGCACAUAACAAAAUGCUGACAGAGGAAAGAAAUACAGAGUGGAAGUGGAGCACUAAGAGCAUUACCUUAGCCAUCCAAUCUUUUACUUCUUUGAUUCCACGAUUCCGAGAUAAUGCCACCACGUAUAUUUCCAUUCUGUUGCAGGUACUUAGAACAG
Molecule: long non-coding RNA, 205 nt
Organism: Telopea speciosissima
Lineage: Eukaryota; Viridiplantae; Streptophyta; Magnoliopsida; Proteales; Proteaceae
Exons: 2
Source: RefSeq, a predicted model, not a curated record